This 2891-nucleotide ribosomal RNA is filed under the name Pseudomonas aeruginosa. Its description in RNAcentral is "bacterial LSU rRNA". It matches the Rfam family "Bacterial large subunit ribosomal RNA". Lineage: Bacteria; Pseudomonadati; Pseudomonadota; Gammaproteobacteria; Pseudomonadales; Pseudomonadaceae. The record is from RNAcentral.
UCAAGUGAAGAAGCGCAUACGGUGGAUGCCUUGGCAGUCAGAGGCGAUGAAAGACGUGGUAGCCUGCGAAAAGCUUCGGGGAGUCGGCAAACAGACUUUGAUCCGGAGAUCUCUGAAUGGGGGAACCCACCUAGGAUAACCUAGGUAUCUUGUACUGAAUCCAUAGGUGCAAGAGGCGAACCAGGGGAACUGAAACAUCUAAGUACCCUGAGGAAAAGAAAUCAACCGAGAUUCCCUUAGUAGUGGCGAGCGAACGGGGAUUAGCCCUUAAGCUUCAUUGAUUUUAGCGGAACGCUCUGGAAAGUGCGGCCAUAGUGGGUGAUAGCCCCGUACGCGAAAGGAUCUUUGAAGUGAAAUCGAGUAGGACGGAGCACGAGAAACUUUGUCUGAACAUGGGGGGACCAUCCUCCAAGGCUAAAUACUACUGACUGACCGAUAGUGAACCAGUACCGUGAGGGAAAGGCGAAAAGAACCCCGGAGAGGGGAGUGAAAUAGAACCUGAAACCGUAUGCGUACAAGCAGUGGGAGCCUACUUGUUAGGUGACUGCGUACCUUUUGUAUAAUGGGUCAGCGACUUAUAUUCAGUGGCAAGCUUAACCGUAUAGGGUAGGCGUAGCGAAAGCGAGUCUUAAUAGGGCGUUUAGUCGCUGGGUAUAGACCCGAAACCGGGCGAUCUAUCCAUGAGCAGGUUGAAGGUUAGGUAACACUGACUGGAGGACCGAACCCACUCCCGUUGAAAAGGUAGGGGGAUGACUUGUGGAUCGGAGUGAAAGGCUAAUCAAGCUCGGAGAUAGCUGGUUCUCCUCGAAAGCUAUUUAGGUAGCGCCUCAUGUAUCACUCUGGGGGGUAGAGCACUGUUUCGGCUAGGGGGUCAUCCCGACUUACCAAAACCGAUGCAAACUCCGAAUACCCAGAAGUGCCGAGCAUGGGAGACACACGGCGGGUGCUAACGUCCGUCGUGAAAAGGGAAACAACCCAGACCGCCAGCUAAGGUCCCAAAGUUGUGGUUAAGUGGUAAACGAUGUGGGAAGGCUUAGACAGCUAGGAGGUUGGCUUAGAAGCAGCCAUCCUUUAAAGAAAGCGUAAUAGCUCACUAGUCGAGUCGGCCUGCGCGGAAGAUGUAACGGGGCUCAAACCACACACCGAAGCUGCGGGUGUCACGUAAGUGACGCGGUAGAGGAGCGUUCUGUAAGCCUGUGAAGGUGAGUUGAGAAGCUUGCUGGAGGUAUCAGAAGUGCGAAUGCUGACAUGAGUAACGACAAUGGGUGUGAAAAACACCCACGCCGAAAGACCAAGGGUUCCUGCGCAACGUUAAUCGACGCAGGGUUAGUCGGUUCCUAAGGCGAGGCUGAAAAGCGUAGUCGAUGGGAAACAGGUUAAUAUUCCUGUACUUCUGGUUACUGCGAUGGAGGGACGGAGAAGGCUAGGCCAGCUUGGCGUUGGUUGUCCAAGUUUAAGGUGGUAGGCUGAAAUCUUAGGUAAAUCCGGGGUUUCAAGGCCGAGAGCUGAUGACGAGUCGUCUUUUAGAUGACGAAGUGGUUGAUGCCAUGCUUCCAAGAAAAGCUUCUAAGCUUCAGGUAACCAGGAACCGUACCCCAAACCGACACAGGUGGUCGGGUAGAGAAUACCAAGGCGCUUGAGAGAACUCGGGUGAAGGAACUAGGCAAAAUGGCACCGUAACUUCGGGAGAAGGUGCGCCGGCUAGGGUGAAGGAUUUACUCCGUAAGCUCUGGCUGGUCGAAGAUACCAGGCCGCUGCGACUGUUUAUUAAAAACACAGCACUCUGCAAACACGAAAGUGGACGUAUAGGGUGUGACGCCUGCCCGGUGCCGGAAGGUUAAUUGAUGGGGUUAGCGCAAGCGAAGCUCUUGAUCGAAGCCCCGGUAAACGGCGGCCGUAACUAUAACGGUCCUAAGGUAGCGAAAUUCCUUGUCGGGUAAGUUCCGACCUGCACGAAUGGCGUAACGAUGGCGGCGCUGUCUCCACCCGAGACUCAGUGAAAUUGAAAUCGCUGUGAAGAUGCAGUGUAUCCGCGGCUAGACGGAAAGACCCCGUGAACCUUUACUGUAGCUUUGCACUGGACUUUGAGCCUGCUUGUGUAGGAUAGGUGGGAGGCUUUGAAGCGUGGACGCCAGUUCGCGUGGAGCCAUCCUUGAAAUACCACCCUGGCAUGCUUGAGGUUCUAACUCUGGUCCGUGAUCCGGAUCGAGGACAGUGUAUGGUGGGCAGUUUGACUGGGGCGGUCUCCUCCUAAAGAGUAACGGAGGAGUACGAAGGUGCGCUCAGACCGGUCGGAAAUCGGUCGCAGAGUAUAAAGGCAAAAGCGCGCUUGACUGCGAGACAGACACGUCGAGCAGGUACGAAAGUAGGUCUUAGUGAUCCGGUGGUUCUGUAUGGAAGGGCCAUCGCUCAACGGAUAAAAGGUACUCCGGGGAUAACAGGCUGAUACCGCCCAAGAGUUCAUAUCGACGGCGGUGUUUGGCACCUCGAUGUCGGCUCAUCACAUCCUGGGGCUGAAGCCGGUCCCAAGGGUAUGGCUGUUCGCCAUUUAAAGUGGUACGCGAGCUGGGUUUAGAACGUCGUGAGACAGUUCGGUCCCUAUCUGCCGUGGACGUUUGAGAUUUGAGAGGGGCUGCUCCUAGUACGAGAGGACCGGAGUGGACGAACCUCUGGUGUUCCGGUUGUCACGCCAGUGGCAUUGCCGGGUAGCUAUGUUCGGAAAAGAUAACCGCUGAAAGCAUCUAAGCGGGAAACUUGCCUCAAGAUGAGAUCUCACUGGGAACUUGAUUCCCCUGAAGGGCCGUCGAAGACUACGACGUUGAUAGGCUGGGUGUGUAAGCGUUGUGAGGCGUUGAGCUAACCAGUACUAAUUGCCCGUGAGGCUUGACCAU